GUGAGAUGAGAGCUGCUGAAUAGGAAAGUAGCAUGCAUUUGUGGGAGUUAUUAGCAGGUAAAACUGAAAAUGAUCAAAUUUUAAAUCACAAAAGCACUUCUACAGCAGGGUGUACUAUACCAUUAGGGAAUAAAAAAUGAAACGGCAGUUACACUUUAACAUCUGCUUCGAUCAGUGGUGGCCU
Long non-coding RNA from Bufo bufo (common toad), 184 nucleotides. RefSeq lists it as uncharacterized. The transcript has 3 exons. Lineage: Eukaryota; Metazoa; Chordata; Amphibia; Anura; Bufonidae. The record is from RefSeq and is a predicted model, not a curated record.